Molecule: unclassified non-coding RNA, 200 nt
Filed under: Helotiaceae sp.
Lineage: Eukaryota; Fungi; Ascomycota; Leotiomycetes; Helotiales; Helotiaceae
Description: partial internal transcribed spacer 2
Source: RNAcentral
UUAAGUUCAGCGGGUAUCCCUACCUGAUCCGAGGUCAACCUUUGAAAAUUUGGGGUUGUUGGCAAGCCUCCACCAGGACCCUAUAGCGAGAAGAAUUACUACGCUUAGAGCCUGGCAGCACCGCCACUGAUUUUAAGGCCCGCCCAGAGGCGAAAGCCCAACACCCAGCAAGCUGGAUUGGUUUAAAUGACGCUCGAACA